This 71-nucleotide transfer RNA is filed under the name Planctomyces sp. RNAcentral describes it as "tRNA-Gly". It matches the Rfam family "tRNA". From Rfam's summary of the family: Transfer RNA (tRNA) molecules are approximately 80 nucleotides in length. The record is from RNAcentral. Lineage: Bacteria; Pseudomonadati; Planctomycetota; Planctomycetia; Planctomycetales; Planctomycetaceae.
GCGCCCAUGACGUAGCGGCAGCGUACUGCUCUGCCAGGGCAGGUGUGCGGGUUCGACUCCCGCUGGGCGCA